UACGUAGGGUGCAAGCGUUGUCCGGAAUUAUUGGGCGUAAAGAGCUCGUAGGCGGUCUGUCGCGUCGGAUGUGAAAACCCGGGGCUUAACCCCGGGCCUGCAUUCGAUACGGGCAGACUCGAGUGUGGUAGGGGAGACUGGAACUCCUGGUGUAGCGGUGAAAUGCGCAGAUAUCAGGAGGAACACCGGUGGCGAAGGCGGGUCUCUGGGCCGUAACUGACGCUGAGGAGCGAAAGCAUGGGGAGCGAACAGG
Molecule: ribosomal RNA, 253 nt
Filed under: uncultured bacterium
Lineage: Bacteria
Description: partial 16S ribosomal RNA
Rfam family: Bacterial small subunit ribosomal RNA
Source: RNAcentral